Molecule: ribosomal RNA, 897 nt
Filed under: Fusarium incarnatum
Lineage: Eukaryota; Fungi; Ascomycota; Sordariomycetes; Hypocreales; Nectriaceae
Description: LSU rRNA
Rfam family: Eukaryotic large subunit ribosomal RNA
Source: RNAcentral
AGCAUAUCAAUAAGCGGAGGAAAAGAAACCAACAGGGAUUGCCCUAGUAACGGCGAGUGAAGCGGCAACAGCUCAAAUUUGAAAUCUGGCUCUCGGGCCCGAGUUGUAAUUUGUAGAGGAUGCUUUUGAUGCGGUGCCUUCCGAGUUCCCUGGAACGGGACGCCAUAGAGGGUGAGAGCCCCGUCUGGUUGGAUGCCAAAUCUCUGUAAAGCUCCUUCGACGAGUCGAGUAGUUUGGGAAUGCUGCUCUAAAUGGGAGGUAUAUGUCUUCUAAAGCUAAAUACCGGCCAGAGACCGAUAGCGCACAAGUAGAGUGAUCGAAAGAUGAAAAGCACUUUGAAAAGAGAGUUAAAAAGUACGUGAAAUUGUUGAAAGGGAAGCGUUUAUGACCAGACUUGGGCUUGGUUAAUCAUCUGGGGUUCUCCCCAGUGCACUUUUCCAGUCCAGGCCAGCAUCAGUUUUCGCCGGGGGAUAAAGGCUUCGGGAAUGUGGCUCUCUCCGGGGAGUGUUAUAGCCCGUUGCGUAAUACCCUGGCGGGGACUGAGGUUCGCGCAUCUGCAAGGAUGCUGGCGUAAUGGUCAUCAACGACCCGUCUUGAAACACGGACCAAGGAGUCGUCUUCGUAUGCGAGUGUUCGGGUGUCAAACCCCUACGCGUAAUGAAAGUGAACGCAGGUGAGAGCUUCGGCGCAUCAUCGACCGAUCCUGAUGUUCUCGGAUGGAUUUGAGUAAGAGCAUACGGGGCCGGACCCGAAAGAAGGUGAACUAUGCCUGUGUAGGGUGAAGCCAGAGGAAACUCUGGUGGAGGCUCGCAGCGGUUCUGACGUGCAAAUCGAUCGUCAAACAUGGGCAUGGGGGCGAAAGACUAAUCGAACCUUCUAGUAGCUGGUUUCCGCCGA